This 253-nucleotide ribosomal RNA is filed under the name uncultured bacterium. RNAcentral describes it as "partial 16S ribosomal RNA". It matches the Rfam family "Bacterial small subunit ribosomal RNA", at positions 524 to 776 of the family's 1533-position model. The record is from RNAcentral.
UACGUAGGGUGCGAGCGUUAAUCGGAAUUACUGGGCGUAAAGUGUGCGCAGGCGGCAGAGCAAGUCGAGUGUGAAAGCCCCGGGCUUAACUUGGGAAUUGCGCUCGAAACUACUUUGCUGGAGUGUGGCAGAGGAAGGUGGAAUUCCAGGUGUAGCGGUGAAAUGCGUAGAGAUCUGGAGGAACACCGAUGGCGAAGGCAGCCUUCUGGGCCAACACUGACGCUCAUGCACGAAAGCGUGGGGAGCAAACAGG